This is a long non-coding RNA of Fukomys damarensis (Damara mole-rat), 951 nucleotides long. RefSeq lists it as uncharacterized. NCBI's taxonomy places the organism in Eukaryota, Metazoa, Chordata, Mammalia, Rodentia, Bathyergidae. The record is from RefSeq and is a predicted model, not a curated record. The transcript has 2 exons.
GGAAACAACGCAGCUGACCGGGCAGCAAAGCAAGCUGCCCAAAAAUCAGUGGGGAAACAAAUGGUGCUGCUACCUACACCCGUGCUCCCAGAGAGGCCUGAAUAUACAGAGUAAGAAAUAAUGGAGAUGAGUAAGAACCACUGGACCAAAGGAAAGCGUGGAUGGUGGACAACAGAUGAAGGGAAGGUCGUUCUGCCAGCCUGGGUGGCUGACACUUUGCUAAAUGAGCUCCAUGAAUCCACCCACCUAGGAGAAAAGAGGAUGAUGGCCCUGCUACGGCCCCACUUUGUCAGCAGAGAAUUAGCCCAGAAGGCCCAGGACAAAGUGAGACAGUGCCCCACCUGCCUCAAGGUUUGACUCCAAGACCUUGGAACCACGGUGGAAGGGGCCUUUUCCAGUUGUCCUGUCUACUUCUCUGGUUGUGAAGGUUGCAGGACACCUGACGUGGAUCCAUCGCAACCACCUCAAGCCCGGACCGGACAACAGCCCAGAGGCGCACGGAAAAUGGAGCGUUGUCAGCAAACCCGGAGAAUUGAAAAUAAAACUCUGCUCAACUGGACCUUCAUUACGAUCUGGGUGAUUUCCCUUGGGACAAUAAUAGUGUUGUCCAGAGAGAACUUAGGUCAUACUAAAAAUGUUUGGGUGCCAUUAGCUGAAUCCUUAAAUUUGUCUGAAAUAUGUUUAAAUGCUGAUGUGAAUUUUCAUUAUGUGCUUGGAAGUUGUUUGGUUCCAGUAUGCACCCCACUUGAAAGUAUUAGACCAUAUACUAUGUUUAAAAAUUUCCCACAAGUAAAUCUCAGUUAUUUGGAUAGUUACAAUUGGGGACAGGUGACAUGUUACAAACCAAAGAAUGCUAUUAAGCUAUAUACCCCUCGAGUAGCUAUGUCCAAUAAGACUCUCUGUGCCAAAUAUAAAGGUUGUACUUCCCAGUGUUUAAAUCUUAAACAAACA